GACGAACGCUGGCGGCGUGCUUAACACAUGCAAGUCGAACGGUGAAGCGAGUGCUUGCACUCGUGGAUCAGUGGCGAACGGGUGAGUAACACGUGAGUAACCUGCCCAUCACUCUGGGAUAAGCACUGGAAACGGUGUCUAAUACUGGAUACGACCAACCCUUGCAUGGGGUGUUGGUGGAAAGAUUUAUCGGUGAUGGAUGGACUCGCGGCCUAUCAGCUUGUUGGCGGGGUAAUGGCCCACCAAGGCGACGACGGGUAGCCGGCCUGAGAGGGUGACCGGCCACACUGGGACUGAGACACGGACCAGACUCCUACGGGAGGCAGCAGUGGGGAAUAUUGCACAAUGGGCGAAAGCCUGAUGCAGCGACGCCGCGUGAGGGAUGACGGCCUUCGGGUUGUAAACCUCUUUCAGCAGGGAAGAAGCGAAAGUGACGGUACCUGCAGAAGAAGCACCGGCUAACUACGUG
This 469-nucleotide ribosomal RNA is filed under the name uncultured bacterium. RNAcentral describes it as "partial 16S ribosomal RNA". It matches the Rfam family "Bacterial small subunit ribosomal RNA", at positions 28 to 507 of the family's 1533-position model. The record is from RNAcentral.